Long non-coding RNA from Dicentrarchus labrax (European seabass), 5145 nucleotides. Lineage: Eukaryota; Metazoa; Chordata; Actinopteri; Moronidae. The record is from Ensembl.
AUCAUUGCAAGGUUCUAUAUAUAUAUAUAUAUAUAAGCUAUAAAAAGUAUUUUAACUGGAAUGUCUCAAAAAUAGUGCAGGCUGCAUACAAAUAAGAGAUGGAGACACAUUCUUAGACUGGAACGGAAAAAUCAAUACAAGGUGAGGGAGUGACACGAGAGAUGAAGAAGGUUUAAAAAUUGUAUGUAACCUCUUUCUAAGAAAUAGCUUCACUCCAUUUUCACGGCCUGUGUUGCUCUGCCUUUCUUUGUAGCCGGCCUUUUCCUCCUGACUUGCAAAGGGAUGGAGAGAGAAACAGCAGUCUUACAGCCAUGGUAGCAGCUACACAAGGUUGCAUUAACCACAGGGUUAAUUUGAGCUAAAUGCUAAAGUCAGCAUACUAACAAGCCCACAAUGCUAAUAUGGUGAUUUUUAGCAGGCAUGUUUAUAUUUUUAGUUUAGCAUGCUAACAUUUAGUAAACUAAAGUGAUGGACAAAUUGAAAUUCUGACCCGAUGAUGGCGCCAUGAAAAGUUAGGGUAUCACUAAAGUUAUUACAGUUCAUCCUGGGUGGUUGACAUGAAUCUGUACUAACAGUUGUUAAGUCAAAAUCACAAAUGCCAACCUCUUGGUGGCGCUAGAGCACUUGAGUCAGGGGUCACUGAAGUCUGUAUGAUAAUUCCACACCCACUAUCAUCAAAAGGGAGAUGGACUCAAAAUAUGAGGUUGUGGGUAGAACAGUAAUGGAGAGAGCGUGGGAGAGAGUGAACACAGGGUGCAACAGAAGGAUGGAGAAAUGUGAGCUACCAGGAUACUCCAAGAGUAAAGUUUUGUUUCCAGAGUCUGGGACCAAACUCUAUCCACCCUCGCCCCCACAGAGUGGGGUUUAUCAGAGACUACCUCCAGAAUUUGGGAGUGGAGUGGAUGGAAUGGCCUGCCAGCAGUCCUGACCUCAACCCUGUUGAACACUUGUGGGAUCAGCUUGGGCGUGCUGUUCGUGCCAGAGUGACAAACACAACCACGUUGGCGGACUUGUGACAAACGCUGGUUGAAGAAUGGGAUGCCACCCCACAGCAGUGUGUGACCAGGCUGGUGACCAGCAUGAAGAGGAGGUGCCAGGUUGUUGUGGUUCUUCCACACGCUACUAAUGCUCCUCUUUGAUAAAUUACUAAAUUGUUAAAUUGCCAAUAUGUCUUGUUUCUUCAGACUUCAAUCAUCCAAUAUACCAAACAACACCAAAUAAGAGUCAACAGCAAAGAAAGGCUGUUUGGUAUUGGCAGAGAAGAUUUGGCAAAUUUUUCAUGGGCGCAACCCACAUACUCAGCUCUGCUGCUCAUCCCACAAAUGCAUGUUCCUUACAAAUGUGGCACCAUUUAAAAGGGAAAUAAUCAGGCUUUCUAGUGCUAUAAGAUUUAUUGCUAAGAAGCAUUGUUACAACAAAGAAAUAAUCUACCAAACAUAAAUUUAAAAUAAAUACUCCCACUCCUUGGGUUGUUAUGAAGAAAGAGGAACUGGCAUAUUGGCUAUAGAGCCCUUUAAUGAAUACUGCAUUGAGAUUAUAUUAUUUGAGACAAUGUUUCAUUCCUUUCUCACUUUUCCCUGAUUUUUGUAAAUAUUUGACUUAGUCUUGGAAACAUGUGUUAGUGUGUAUGUAUGCUCAAUCAGUGUGUGUGUGUGUGUGUGUGUGUGUGUGUGUGUGUGUGUGUGUGUGUACGUAUGCUCAGUGAGUGUGUAGGUGUGUGUGUGUGUGUCCUCGUAUUCUCUUAUCUGUCUGUCCUUGAGCUUGCGCCUGCCAGACAAACCUGGGUAAGCCUGCAAACACAGAGUAUAGCAGCAAUCAUGCUUUCGGUGUAGGAGAGUAGCAGUUUUUCUUUAAUAUUUCUCCCACCUCUGUCCAGAUAGAAUCAAAGUCCUGUGUAGAUGUCUCACUGUGCUUGGCAGCUGAAUCAAGCAGACUUUCACAAUGAAGGGUUUCAAACUGGUUCAAAUCACUGUGUUUUCUGAUCUUACAACCCCAUGUUUUAAGGUUUGGUUAGGUUUGUGCACAAAAACAACUCGGUUAAAGUUAUGGAAAGAUCGUGGUUUGGGAUAAAAUUACGUCAAUAAGAUUAGGGGACCUUCUUCGUCAUGGUAACAAUAAUAACCACUUGGUUAAGGUUAGAGAGUGACCAUGUGACCACUGUUGGUAGGAAGCAGGAAGUGAACAGUGGUCUCAAACAUUGGGUUCACCCACUCGCCACCCAGACUGCCUCCCUCUGUAGACUCAGUGUUUCUAUAACAAUGACACAUUACUUCUUCCUUUGCUCCAGACAGACAAGAGUCAUAAUUACUCAGGCUGCUUGAGGACUUUGUCACUUAAACCUAAACACAUGUUUUGGGGCUUUUGCUGAAGCAACUGAUGUUUUUUCGUUUUUCUAGGAAGGACAGUCUCAGUGAUAGUUGCUUAUUUGUGUCAUGUCCAGAUAGACACAUAGACUUAAAAGGCACCAAAAAGACUGUCAACAACAAAGGUCAGAAAGAAUAGUGCUUUUUCAUAUAGCAUUACAUUGUAAAAAAAAUAACUGUCUUUCUCUCAAGCUCUACAAAUAAAUAAUGCCACAAAAAGGCUCCAUUCCUAAAACACAAUAAAAGUAUUUUAUGAUCUUCUAACCAACAAAUCAUCAGAGAAGUGAGAAGUUUUAUUAGAAAGUUUUUAAAUCAGAUUAUAAUGAUUAUAGCACUUGUUUUGAUGCACAUUUUCAAUUUGUGCAUAAAAAAAACUGGAAAAGUUUAGGUAUUGCAAAAUAUGUUUGGCUAAGGUGGAAAAGUUGGUGUAAGCAAAAAUGUGACAAAGUGCAAUGGAAGUAGAGAAUAGAGCAUGACGUUCAUGAAGCAUGUGACUUAAACAUCCACUGACGCUGCUGCACCUGACUGGAGAAAAAGCAACAACAACCAUUUUAUCUCGAGGAACUGACUCCUAAUAUUCGCACAAUAUCAUUUCUACAUUUGUUUUGCUUCAACAUAAUUGUUAUGUUGUUUACUGAUUUAUUUGUUUCUUAUCUUUAACCCCUUUUUUAGUUCUUACAUACCUUUUUUGGAUUUGAACAAUUCUUCAUUCAAUCUGUUACUUUGUUUUGAUAUUACCUGUGUGCCUAUUAUUUGGUUUCCUAAUAACCUCGCUGCCAUACACAAUUAUAUGGACUAUUAUCUUCUUUAGUGCGACCAAUUGAUCUGCCUGUUUCCAAUGUUAAUAAAUGUUGCUGAAAUCCACUGUGUACAUAGAGACUUUCUCUGUUAUACUGUACCAAAGCCAAAGAAAAUAUUUUCUCAUUGACUGGUAGGUUUUUAUGUUUUAAAAACAACCAUUGGUAAUAGCGGCAGAGCGGUUUCCUGCACGUUCUACAUUUCAAGUUAAUUCUCACUGUUAAAUCAAAUCUAAUCAAGAGAUAAAGUGAGUCCAAGACCUGUGAGGCAACAGUUUACUCUGUGAUUCAGCCAAUUCCCCCUGUGAUGUAACAUCUGGCCGCAUGCUGCAACAGUUCACUUGGCGAUGUGGCACAGCAGUUGAAGCUGUGAUACAGCUGUUUGUGCUGUGUUGUAGUUUCCUCAUUGGGUCCUCUCAUGCGGCUGUGGUUCCUAUAAUGCAGGUGUGUUUUCUGUGAGGCAGCAGUUUAUACUGCGAUGCAGCAGAGGGCCUUCUGACGUAACAGUGAGCUUUACAAGUUAGCACAGCUUUGAGUGAUUGGGUGCCAGAUUUCCUAAACGGAUUUGGCAGUAGCUAUCAAUCCAUGUAUGUGAAAAUCUUUAAUUAUGGCACAGUAAGAAGAUUACACCUAAUCUACUUAAGGUUUAGAUUAUUACCCUAAUGUAUAGGCAAUACACUGUAUGAUCUCAACAUGAGACAUAAUGUGACAUAUCACACAUUAUGUCGAAUUUAAAAAACACAGAGCUUGCAUUAAAUUGUAAAUAUGAAUUUGACACUUGUGGUGGUUUUCAUCUGCUGUUUAAAGUAUUUCAAUAUAAGUGGCAUGCAAACGUGUGAAGUAUUAUUUGUGGUGUGGAGGGUUUUGUGGGAAUGAGGCAGAAGUGAACAAGAACAGUUGCAGACAUAUAUACAAACCAAUCUUUAUAGCUAAGCAUAUCCAUUUCAACAUACCCAACAAGCUGACUAUAAACAGCCACCAACAACAAAGUUCAACUCAAGUCAAUGUUAUUUAUAGAGCCCAAUAUCAAAAAUGGAUUUGGUUAAGGAAAAAGUCCCCAAAAAACCAUUUAACUGGAGAUAAAACGGAAGAAACCUCAAAAGAACAAGAGAGAAGGGAUCCCUACAGUAUGGAUGAUCCGGAUCACAAAAUUAUAAAUGGAUUAAACAUGUAUACAAAAACAGUAGUAGUAACAAUAGUAUCACACUAACAAUAGGAAUCUUGACCAAAUCUUACAUUUGAACAUUAAUGAGAAUGCUGUGUUUAAUUUUUUAUCACUUCCAUCAAACACUUGACCACACAACUUGAACUCACCAUACAUGCAGUUUGACUGACUGGCUAGCCUCAGCAAAGCAAAAGUAAUCACAUGUAAAUGAUUUAAGUGGUCAAAAAUAGGCGGAUUUCACAGAGAACAUGCAGGGAAUGUCUUAAUCUCACCUUUAACUGGCCUCUCAAACUGCUAAUCUCUCAGAAAUAUCUACAGCUCCUGGACACCGUGUCUGUGUGCUGCAUGUACCAACAAUUAGCCACGGGUAAUUAGCAGCACCACCGGUCAGCGCGUAAUAAAGCAACGAGUCACGGCUGACGUCAUGGCUUCAUGCUGUUAUCCACAUUAUGGUGUCUGACAUUUUUAAAAGCAGCCAUUAAUCAUGGAUAACUAGUGUACCAGCAGAUGACUUGUCUGAAGCCAGUAACUGACUUUAUUGCUCAUAUCACGUUGCAAAUGCCUGUGUGUACACGUGUGUCCAGAACAUUUACUAUAAAUGUUAAACCUAUUUUAACACAAAAAGUACAAGAAGAUAUGUGAUUAAUCAAAAAUGAAUAAUAGUAUCAAUUGAUUGUGGAUGUAAUUUAACCUUAUUCCUUACAUAAAAGUAGAUAUUGGCGCAAUUUCUAAAAAUACAGCCUAAUUAAUUAGGUCUUUUUGGCCAACUUUGUUAUUGUAAUACUACUAUUUGCAGUCUUAGCCAUUUAUUCAUUACUUU